Molecule: ribosomal RNA, 257 nt
Filed under: uncultured bacterium
Lineage: Bacteria
Description: partial 16S ribosomal RNA
Rfam family: Bacterial small subunit ribosomal RNA
Source: RNAcentral
UACGUAGGGUGCGAGCGUUGUCCGGAAUUAUUGGGCGUAAAGGGCUCGUAGGCGGUUUGUCGCGUCGGGAGUGAAAACCCAGGGCUUAACUCUGGGCUUGCUUUCGAUACGGGCAGACUAGAGGUAUGCAGGGGAGAACGGAAUUCCUGGUGUAGCGGUGAAAUGCGCAGAUAUCAGGAGGAACACCGGGUAGGCGAAGGCGGUUCUCUGGGCAUUACCUGACGCUGAGGAGCGAAAGCGUGGGGGAGCAAACAGGA